Molecule: small nuclear RNA, 112 nt
Organism: Heteronotia binoei (common prickly gecko)
Lineage: Eukaryota; Metazoa; Chordata; Lepidosauria; Squamata; Gekkonidae
Product: U5 spliceosomal RNA
Exons: 1
Source: RefSeq, a predicted model, not a curated record
UUACUCUGGUUUCUCUUCAGAUCGCAUGUUUUGUCUUUUACUAAAGGUUUCUGUGGAGAAGAACAUUUAUGAGUGUUUCGUGAAUUUUUUGAGGUCAGACAAAAGCAGAUAC